UAAGUGCUAGAGCGUCUAGUUUAGUAGAGCAGGUUCAGAAUUUAAAUGAGCAAGUGCAGUUUUGGAAAGGGGAACAUUCUGUCGCACAGGAGGAACUACACAGGUUUAUACAAGGGCAGGUCCCCACUUUUGAGCAUGGUAGGUAUUCAGAUGUUGUUAGGGAGGUGUACAUGGAUUUGAUUACAACUAUGGGGGUAUGAAGAGAAAAUGAAACUGCAGCAGCACAUCCAGUUUGCAGUGAGGUUGUAUAGUAAAAUUAAGUUUUCAUAAAUAUGUAUAUAAGUUAAUUAAAAUGUGCACUCAUUUUUCUCUAUUUUUCAGAUGAAUGUGCCUUCAAUUAGCUACACAUUUUCCUGGAGCUUGCUCGAUCGCCUUUUUGCUAGGGGUCAGGGAAUAAUUUUCCAGUACCCCAUAUUGGCUAAAAUGGGUGAACUGGUUUUUUGAUUCCCUCUGGAAAAUGAGUUAGGUUUCCUAUUAAAUAUGCAUAUUAAACAUUGUUGUUCUUGAAAAAA
Hypomesus transpacificus is the source of this 512-nucleotide long non-coding RNA. RefSeq lists it as uncharacterized. The transcript has 2 exons. Lineage: Eukaryota; Metazoa; Chordata; Actinopteri; Osmeriformes; Osmeridae. The record is from RefSeq and is a predicted model, not a curated record.